ACCUGACUGGCUCAGUCAGCAGAGCAUGUGACUCUUGAUCUCGGGGCUGUGGGUUCAAGCCCCGUAUUGGGUG
Molecule: transfer RNA, 73 nt
Organism: Felis catus (domestic cat)
Lineage: Eukaryota; Metazoa; Chordata; Mammalia; Carnivora; Felidae
Rfam family: tRNA
About the family: Transfer RNA (tRNA) molecules are approximately 80 nucleotides in length.
Source: Rfam